Molecule: ribosomal RNA, 409 nt
Filed under: Entrophospora claroidea
Lineage: Eukaryota; Fungi; Glomeromycota; Glomeromycetes; Entrophosporales; Entrophosporaceae
Description: partial large subunit ribosomal RNA
Source: RNAcentral
AGAGUUAAACAGUACGUGAAAUUGUUGAAAGGGAAACGAUUGAAGUCAGUCGUGCUGGCGCGAAAUCAACCCUCUUGUCGGGAGGAUACGUGUUGUGGCGAGCCUCAAAACCGCCACGACAUGUAUUCUCACGACAAGGGGGAGCACUUUCGUGUCCGCUGGUUAACAUCAAUUUCGACCGUCAUAAAAAGGCUGGAGGGAUGUGGCUCCUUCGGGAGUGUUAUAACCUUUAGCGGAAUGUGGUGGUCGGGAUUGAGGAUUGCAACGAAUACCUUUAGGGCUGUUCCACCUGGCUUCUCAUUGGUAUCCUGGUGACGACAGCUUGCUGACGUCGUUAGGAUUCGCCUUUGAACAGGCUAGAGUGUGAGCAAAUUCGUUAAGGAUGUUAACGUAAUGGCUUUAAACGACC